AUGACAAGUAGAUAUUUUAUUUAAAAUUGAAAGCUCUUUCUGAAGUUGCAUAGGUAUAAUUUUGUAAGCAAUGGAUGUUUAGGAUUUCCAGAUGAGUCAUUGCUUAUGAUCAAGGUCAUAAAGUGAGGACUGCUAAAUCCUGUUGGUUAACUGACUUUUAGAGUUAUGCCCAAGGUCAUUGGAUCUCACCACAGAAUACAAAGAUUCUAAUGAUUAAGAUUCUUUGCACCCCUAACACCCUCUCCUCUCUCCCCUUGGAUCUUUAGUUUCCUUCGGGAUUUUUAGGAAUCAGGACUACCACUUACUCAGUCACUGGGAUAGUAGCCUCAAUAAGAUGGCCUGAGUGUGUCAGCACCCUCAGAAAGUCAAGAUCAAAUUGGGAUCCAGGGAAGAUGGGUCUGAAGAUAAAGAAGCUUUAUGACCCUAGUUGGCCCCUGGAAUCCGCAUGGUGGAAGGAGAAAAUCGACCCCUGACAGGUGUUUUCUGAUCUCUACAUGUGCAUCUACUGGAUAUGAGUGUGUCCACCCUAGUCAAUCAAACAAACAUAAAUCAAAUACAUAACUAUAAAAAAAAUCAAACCUUCAUUCCAAGCCCAUCCUUUGGAGUGUUUCAGAAAAGGUAAAGCUUACUUAAAACUUUCAACUCGGGGAUCAUGAUGGGAAGCACUGCUACUUGCAUUCUCUGCAUCUUUAAACGCAUAUCUUGUCCCUAUUCUGCAAUCAUUUAGGUCUCUAAAAUCUCAGGUUCAGAUUUUUAAGAAUCUCUCAAAUAAUGUAGCCCAUAUUUUAAAAUCUUACAAUCCUCAUGUCCUUCUAAAUAAGAAGAAAGCCUAUUCCUGAGGCUGCGUUCCUUACCAUAGUCAUAAACGAAAGCUAACAUUAAUGAUUCAGUACUCUGGUGUAAGGGCACAUUUUAAUGCCUUUCAGGUUCUGCUGCAGAAGCCAUUCAAACUCUCAGCAGCUUUUAACCACAGCAUCUUCUUCUGAUCUACACCACAUGAUCAUCAGUGGCUGUGGUUCUACCCCAUGCAGUGGCCCUGACAAUGCUUCACAAUGUCUUCACAUCCCCCAGAUUUGGAUUGAAAGAAGCUCCUAUUUGCUUCAUGCUGUUUUCAGAAAGAGAACAGAGGUGGAAAUGGCUCCAGCAAAUUGUGAGCCUAUAAAUAAAACUGUAGCAUAUCAUAUCAAAGAGCUGAGUGAAAAUUUAAGAUGUUUAAUAAAAUCCACUAUAUUCAUUUUCAAUUCUAACAAAACUUUAGUUUUAACUAACUUUCCAAGGAUUUCCUAAACAUAUUCAUAUGAGUUUUAUUUAAAUUCUGUGGAUUAACCAUCAUAUCCCAUCUGAAUGAGAGGAAAGUGCACCUUAGUCGGGUUUGUAAUAAAAAAUAUUGACAAGGUGAUAAAAGGACAGUAUUCAAACAUGCGUAUGAUUAUACCUGUUAAAAUUCCAUUUAUUUUUUUCCUUUUAUUAAAGUUGGCUUUUACAGCUUCUCCUUCUGUUCCUCACGGCCCUUCUCCAUCUCCCUUACUGGAUCCACCACCUUUCUGCCUUUCUUUAGAAAACAAAUAGGCUUCUAAGAGAUUGAGAGAGCUUCUGGGUGGGGCUUGUGUCCACUUCACCUUCCAGCUCUAGUGCAGACUCACACAGGCCCCGUGCCUGCUGCCAGUCUCUUGUGAGUUCAUAUGUGUAUCAGUCCUCAUGAUUUAGAGUCUUGAUUUCUUGGUGUCUUCAAUCACUCUGGUUUUUACAUCCUUUUAACUCUUCUACCUGAGCGUUCCUGAGGGAAGCAAUUUGAUGGAGAUGCCCUAAUUCAGGAAGGAGUGUCCCAAGGUCUCUUAUUCUCUGUGUAAUGUCUGGCUGAGUUUCUAUAUCUGUUCCCAUCUGUACAGGAAGAAGCUUCUCUGAUCAUGGCUGGGAAAGGCACUGAUCUAUGGGUGUAGCUGAAUGUCAUUAGGAGUCAUUUUAUUACUAUGCUCUUUUAGCAGAUCAAUUCUAUUUGGUUUACCCUAGAUCCCUGGGCUGUCUAGUCUCAAGUUCUCAGUCACCCAAGUAGUAUUAGGUAAGGGUUCCAUCUUGUGGAGUGGGCCUAAAGUUACAUCAGAUAUUGGUUGGUCCCUCCCACAAGCUUUGUACCACCACUGCACUAGCUUCUCCUGCAGGCUACACACCAUUGUAGAUCAAAGGGUUUGUGGUUGAUUGGUGUUUAUGUUUCUCCUUUUGGAGAGUGCAGACUACCUUCUUGUACCAAAGACAUUAGAAUGUAGGGGUGAAGUCUCUAUGUGGGUACCAGCUCAACCUCUCCAUGUUCAAUGAGUUCUGUCGGUGUUGUCUGCUUUGGGGGCUUUUCGGUCAGUCUGUGGAGAGCAAAAUGUUUAUCUCAGUAUUAAAAGUUGGCACUUAGGAAUGAGGAUGAGCUAGAAGUCCACAAAUGGGAAGAAAGCCGUAUAUAGCAUCAAAAUCUGCUUGUCCCCUGAGAUCAGCAUCCAAGAGUGAGCAGGGGAGGCCACAAUCGUCUGCUACAGAUUUGGGGAUGAAACUGGAAAACUGCAUAGGAGACGAGAAGGAAGAGUGAAGAUCCUAAGCUCUCCUCCCUGCUGCCCUGGCAGCCUUGUCUGCAGGUUCCCAGGGAAGCUAGGAUAAAUCAAUGAAUGAGGGGAAGGAAGAUUGGUUUACGUAUGAUGUGCGACUAAAGAUGGGGGCAGCAGGGAGGGGAGGUUCCUGUGGGUGGUCUGCUACAGGGCUGGGGAUGAGACAGUGGGACUGGAUUCAGAGAGGAGAGAGAGGUGAAGAUGGAAGUUAUGCUGGCUGUCUGCUUCCCUAUAAUUAUAUUAUAAAAGUAAUUUGUUUUUAAGUAGAAUUUAGUUUCAGAGUGAAAACAUGUGUUUUCCUAUGGCUUUCUAGGAAUGCUAGUGAAGCCAAAGACCUUGGAGCAGAGCCUGCAGUCAGUACUUUACUCAACUUUACUAAACCAGCAUAAUUCCUAACAGCAGU
RNAcentral lists this long non-coding RNA (2991 nucleotides) under Mus caroli (Ryukyu mouse). RNAcentral describes it as "lncRNA (MGP_CAROLIEiJ_G0005988.1)". The record is from RNAcentral. Lineage: Eukaryota; Metazoa; Chordata; Mammalia; Rodentia; Muridae.